AAAGUUAUUUUUAUAGUUUGCAAAAUUAUUUAAUCAGUUUAUGUUCUGAUAACUUUA
Molecule: transfer RNA, 57 nt
Filed under: Neoseiulus womersleyi
Lineage: Eukaryota; Metazoa; Arthropoda; Arachnida; Mesostigmata; Phytoseiidae
Description: tRNA-Cys
Source: RNAcentral